RNAcentral lists this ribosomal RNA (483 nucleotides) under uncultured bacterium. RNAcentral's name for it is "partial 16S ribosomal RNA". It matches the Rfam family "Bacterial small subunit ribosomal RNA", at positions 28 to 507 of the family's 1533-position model. The record is from RNAcentral.
GACGAACGCUGGCGGCGUGCUUAACACAUGCAAGUCGAACGCUGAAGCUCAGCUUUUGUUGGGUGGAUGAGUGGCGAACGGGUGAGUAACACGUGAGUAACCUGCCCCCUUCUUUGGGAUAACGCCCGGAAACGGGUGCUAAUACUGGAUAUUCACUGGUCUUCGCAUGGGGGUUGGUGGAAAGGGUUUUUCUGGUGGGGGAUGGGCUCGCGGCCUAUCAGCUUGUUGGUGGGGUGAUGGCCUACCAAGGCUUUGACGGGUAGCCGGCCUGAGAGGGUGACCGGUCACAUUGGGACUGAGAUACGGCCCAGACUCCUACGGGAGGCAGCAGUGGGGAAUAUUGCACAAUGGGCGCAAGCCUGAUGCAGCGACGCCGCGUGAGGGAUGGAGGCCUUCGGGUUGUGAACCUCUUUCGCUCAAGGUCAAGCCGCAACAAUGGUUGUGGUGAGGGUAGUGGGUAAAGAAGCGCCGGCUAACUACGUG